RNAcentral lists this long non-coding RNA (893 nucleotides) under Elaeis guineensis (African oil palm). Its description in RNAcentral is "long non-coding RNA (EGUI_LNC045788)". The record is from RNAcentral. Lineage: Eukaryota; Viridiplantae; Streptophyta; Magnoliopsida; Arecales; Arecaceae.
AACAUAUCGAUUAACCUUUAAGAGAUUCUUCAGUACCUAUUAUUCAAAAUUAUAUUAUUGCAUUAAUUCUAAUUCAAAAUUAGAUUUAAACAAAUCUUAAAUCAAAAUCCCACUUAGGAUCAGACCUUUCACUAAACUCGAUCAAAAUCGUCAAGAAAGAAGUCCGUCAUUGGGCUAAUUUUAGAAAAAUAACUUCAAGAGAGAGAAAUCCAUCGAGAGAGAGAAUCAAUCUAGAGACAAAAAAUUUUAGAGAAAAAGUCUAACAUUCUAGAGAGAGAAAAUAAGAGUUUAGAUUGAAGGGAGAGAGAGAAGAGAGAGAAACUCUCUCUCAUUUUUUUUCUUUCCAUUUUUUUUUUCUUUUUUUUUCUUUCACGGGAUGGAGGACCCACACGUCCUUUGUCUUCUUCUUCUUCAUUCAUGAAAUAGGGGGCUCUUGCUCCCCCUUAUUCCCGACGAGGAGACCAUCCCCCCCAGCCGACCACCACUCAGGCUGAUAGGGCAGUCCCCGAUGAUGCCAAGCGAUCGGGUCCAAUGACUGACGGCAGCCAAACUGCAAUGGAAAAAAAAACGAAAAGAAAAGAAAAAAUAGGGGAUUCAAAAACUAUACUUUUCAAAUGAUUUCUAGCAAAAUAUAUUCAAUAAAAAUUCAAGAUCUAAACCAGGAGAGAUUAAGAGAAAAAUGUGGAAGUGGGUAGAUGAAAUCUUAAUUGAUUUUGAUGGCCAAAUUACUCGCUAACUAUUGGCAAUCCGAAAGAAAGAAAGGGGGAAGAAAAGCAGCAAAUCUUAAUGAUUUUUGGUGAAAAAAAUCAGAAGAAUUAGGGCCUUUAAAUAGGAUUCCAAUGGGGAGGAUUUAGAGUUAAUUCCACUUAAAUUUUCUUUAGAUUUUAGGAUUC